This 484-nucleotide ribosomal RNA is filed under the name uncultured bacterium. Its description in RNAcentral is "partial 16S ribosomal RNA". It matches the Rfam family "Bacterial small subunit ribosomal RNA", at positions 30 to 507 of the family's 1533-position model. The record is from RNAcentral.
AUUGAACGCUGGCGGCAGGCCUAACACAUGCAAGUCGAGCGGAUGAAGGGAGUUUGCUCCUGGAUUCAGCGGCGGACGGGUCAGUAAUGCCUAGGAAUCUGCCUGGUAGUGGGGGAUAACGUCCGGAAACGGGCGCUAAUACCGCAUACGUCCUGAGGGAGAAAGUGGGGGAUCUUCGGACCUCACGCUAUCAGAUGAGCCUAGGUCGGAUUAGCUAGUUGGUGGGGUAAAGGCCUACCAAGGCGACGAUCCGUAACUGGUCUGAGAGGAUGAUCAGUCACACUGGAACUGAGACACGGUCCAGACUCCUACGGGAGGCAGCAGUGGGGAAUAUUGGACAAUGGGCGAAAGCCUGAUCCAGCCAUGCCGCGUGUGUGAAGAAGGUCUUCGGAUUGUAAAGCACUUUAAGUUGGGAGGAAGGGCAGUAAGUUAAUACCUUGCUGUUUUGACGUUACCAACAGAAUAAGCACCGGCUAACUUCGUG